RNAcentral lists this small nucleolar RNA (133 nucleotides) under Mola mola (ocean sunfish). RNAcentral describes it as "Small nucleolar RNA SNORA51 (ENSMMOG00000012298.1)". The record is from RNAcentral. Lineage: Eukaryota; Metazoa; Chordata; Actinopteri; Tetraodontiformes; Molidae.
AUCCUCCUAAUGCUUACCACGGACAGCGCACCUCAGAGUGCUGGCCGUAUAGAAACAGGAGGGACAUUAAGCUCUUCCAGCACAUUGGCUCUGCCAGCUGUCUGGUGGGGCGCUACUGUUGGCUGAUACAUCC